AGCAAGAGCACUGCUUGCACCUUCUCAGGUGUAACAGCAGGGAAAACAUAAACCUCCCCUUCAAAAGAAAGAGUAAGUUCACUGGUCCUCGACGCCAUAACCAUACCAGGUCCACCUCCAACUCCGACGUGAUGCUCCGGCACGUUCACACCAGAAUUCACGUGCGCCUCUUCAACUUCAUCCAUGGCGUCACCGUCCCCGUACUCGCCGCCGUCGUCAUCCUCGAUCUGUAUCGGCGCUCGCACAUGUUCUUCAUAAGGACGAGCCUGCAGUGGCUGUGGAUUCGCUGCCGCCAUUCAAAAACGGUAUAGUCACCGGCGUACCUUCAGUCUCAGAGAACCGAAACCCUAAGCUAAGCUUGGAGCUAUCCGUUUCAUUGGAUUGGGUGACUAAAUGUUGAAGCUUUGGAAACCCUACCCCGAAUUUGGAAUUGGCCAAUUUUAUAUGAGCUCUCGAGAAGCUUCGAAAAUGGAAGAGAANNNNNNNNNNAAGAGAAAGACAAAGCACCCUAAUAGGUAAGAUUUGCAGGGGCCUCACUCGUGUUUCCUUGCAGAGUCUCCAAUUUGGAAUAUUUUUUUUAUUUUUC
RNAcentral lists this unclassified non-coding RNA (586 nucleotides) under Hevea brasiliensis (rubber tree). The record is from RNAcentral. Lineage: Eukaryota; Viridiplantae; Streptophyta; Magnoliopsida; Malpighiales; Euphorbiaceae.